AUGGAAUUGAGAUCUGGACUAGUGUAAUGAUUAGAGGUAGGACUGGUGUAAUGAUCAAACGUAAGAGAGAAAUCUUUGUCCACAUCGUUGACCUCCUCAUCCUCUGUCAUCGAAACAUUGCCUGCUUCUAUGUCAGGACAGCUUGAAGUAUCAUAUAAAUCUUGAGAAUGGUUUGCAAAUACUGAAGCUUCAGACGAUGAGUUUUCAAUGUCAGCUAUCUCAUUGAGCUCCA
This is a long non-coding RNA of Arabidopsis thaliana (thale cress), 232 nucleotides long. RefSeq annotates it as other RNA. The transcript has a single exon. The record is from RefSeq. Lineage: Eukaryota; Viridiplantae; Streptophyta; Magnoliopsida; Brassicales; Brassicaceae.